RNAcentral lists this ribosomal RNA (400 nucleotides) under uncultured bacterium. RNAcentral's name for it is "bacterial SSU rRNA". It matches the Rfam family "Bacterial small subunit ribosomal RNA", at positions 355 to 769 of the family's 1533-position model. The record is from RNAcentral.
UUAGGAAUUUUGCGCAAUGGGGGAAACCCUGACGCAGCAAUACCGCGUGGGCGAUGAAGGCCUUCGGGUUGUAAAGCCCUUUUAGUUGGGAAGAAAAAAAUGACGGUACCAACAGAAAAAGCACCGGCUAACUCUGUGCCAGCAGCCGCGGUAAUACAGAGGGUGCGAGCGUUAUUCGGAAUUACUGGGCGUAAAGAGAGUGUAGGCGGUUUGAUAAGUCUGAUGUGAAAGCCCUAGGCUUAACCUAGGAAGUGCAUUGGAUACUGUCAGACUAGAGUACGAGAGAGGAAAGCGGAAUUCCUGGUGUAGAGGUGAAAUUCGUAGAUAUCAGGAGGAACAACGGAGGCGAAGGCGGCUUUCUGGAUCGUAACUGACGCUAAGGCUCGAAAGCGUGGGUAGC